This 626-nucleotide ribosomal RNA is filed under the name Streptococcus salivarius. RNAcentral describes it as "bacterial SSU rRNA". It matches the Rfam family "Bacterial small subunit ribosomal RNA", at positions 392 to 1008 of the family's 1533-position model. The record is from RNAcentral. Lineage: Bacteria; Bacillati; Bacillota; Bacilli; Lactobacillales; Streptococcaceae.
CAACGCCGCGUGAGUGAAGAAGGUUUUCGGAUCGUAAAGCUCUGUUGUAAGUCAAGAACGAGUGUGAGAGUGGAAAGUUCACACUGUGACGGUAGCUUACCAGAAAGGGACGGCUAACUACGUGCCAGCAGCCGCGGUAAUACGUGGGUCCCGAGCGUUGUCCGGAUUUAUUGGGCGUAAAGCGAGCGCAGGCGGUUUGAUAAGUCUGAAGUUAAAGGCUGUGGCUCAACCAUAGUUCGCUUUGGAAACUGUCAAACUUGAGUGCAGAAGGGGAGAGUGGAAUUCCAUGUGUAGCGGUGAAAUGCGUAGAUAUAUGGAGGAACACCGGUGGCGAAAGCGGCUCUCUGGUCUGUAACUGACGCUGAGGCUCGAAAGCGUGGGGAGCGAACAGGAUUAGAUACCCUGGUAGUCCACGCCGUAAACGAUGAGUGCUAGGUGUUGGGUCCUUUCCGGGAUUCAGUGCCGCAGCUAACGCAUUAAGCACUCCGCCUGGGGAGUACGACCGCAAGGUUGAAACUCAAAGGAAUUGACGGGGGCCCGCACAAGCGGUGGAGCAUGUGGUUUAAUUCGAAGCAACGCGAAGAACCUUACCAGGUCUUGACAUCCCGAUGCUAUUUCUAGAGAUA